This 459-nucleotide ribosomal RNA is filed under the name uncultured bacterium. Its description in RNAcentral is "partial 16S ribosomal RNA". It matches the Rfam family "Bacterial small subunit ribosomal RNA", at positions 338 to 795 of the family's 1533-position model. The record is from RNAcentral.
CCUACGGGAGGCAGCAGUGAGGAAUAUUGGUCAAUGGGCGGGAGCCUGAACCAGCCAAGCCGCGUGCGGGAAGAAGGUACAGCGUAUCGUAAACCUCUUUUGUCAGGGAACAAAGGCGGGGACUAGUCCCCGGAUGAGGGUACCUGAAGAAAAAGCAUCGGCUAACUCCGUGCCAGCAGCCGCGGUAAUACGGAGGAUGCGAGCGUUAUCCGGAUUUAUUGGGUUUAAAGGGUGCGCACGGGGCCUGUUAAGUCAGCGGGAAAAGCCCGGGGCUCAACCCCGGCGAGCCGUUGAAACUGGCGGGCUGGAGUUGGAGAGAAGUACGCGGAAUGCGCGGUGUAGCGGUGAAAUGCUUAGAUAUCGCGCAGAACCCCGAUUGCGAAGGCAGCGUACCGGCUCCACACUGACGCUGAGGCACGAAAGCGUGGGUAUCGAACAGGAUUAGAUACCCUAGUAGUC